AACGUAGGAGACAACCGUUAUCCGGAUUUACUGGGCGUAAAGGGCGUGUAGGUGGUUACGUAAGUCUGGCGUGAAAUUUUUCGGCUUAACCGGGAAAGGUCGUCGGAUACUGCGGGACUAGAGGACGGUAGAGGCGUGUGGAAUUCCGGGUGUAGUGGUGAAAUGCGUAGAGAUCCGGAGGAACACCAGUGGCGAAGGCGACACGCUGGGCCGUACCUGACACUGAUGCGCGACAGCAUGGGGAGCAAACAGG
RNAcentral lists this ribosomal RNA (253 nucleotides) under uncultured bacterium. RNAcentral describes it as "partial 16S ribosomal RNA". It matches the Rfam family "Bacterial small subunit ribosomal RNA", at positions 524 to 776 of the family's 1533-position model. The record is from RNAcentral.